ACAAGUAAUUACUUACAUUUUUAUUGAAAAUUUUGACUAAAUCAUUAAACAAAUCACUUCAAAAAAAAUAGAAAGAUCAUUCAUUACAUUCAAUGUAUAGGAAUAUGGCAAAGUCACUAUUGAGCUAGACAAGAGAUGCAAAUUGCUGAAGGAAAAACAUGCAGAUGGAGGAGCAAGAUCUAUCGUUCAUAUUGAUUAUUGAGUUAGAAAAGGCCUCUUUUCUCGUUAUUGCUACUGCUAGCACAAGUGCUAAGAAGCAUCAAAUGCUAUCAUAAAAAAUUUCCGAAAUUAAUGAUUUGUUAUGUUGUGUGUCAAAGAAUAAAAAUACUACAAUUCCUUAUAAUUGUAGUGAUUGUGAGGAAAUACUUCUAUGUUAUGUUUGUAUUCUGUUAUUAUAUGUUUGUUUUCUUGGAUCUAUUUUGUAUAGUUUUUCUAAUGUCAAAGAUAUUUAAAUAAAUUGUUCACGGUCA
Capsicum annuum is the source of this 470-nucleotide long non-coding RNA. RefSeq lists it as uncharacterized. NCBI's taxonomy places the organism in Eukaryota, Viridiplantae, Streptophyta, Magnoliopsida, Solanales, Solanaceae. The transcript is spliced from 2 exons. The record is from RefSeq and is a predicted model, not a curated record.